UACGUAGGGGGCAAGCGUUGUCCGGAUUUAUUGGGCGUAAAGAGCGUGUAGGCGGUCAGGUAGGUCCGUUGUGAAAACUCGAGGCUCAACCUCGAGACGCCGAUGGAAACCAUCUGACUAGAGUCCGGAAGAGGAGAGUGGAAUUCCUGGUGUAGCGGUGAAAUGCGCAGAUAUCAGGAGGAGCACCGGUGGCGAAGGCGGGUCUCUGGGCCGAUACUGACGCUGAGGAGCGAAAGCGUGGGGAGCGAACAGG
This 253-nucleotide ribosomal RNA is filed under the name uncultured bacterium. Its description in RNAcentral is "partial 16S ribosomal RNA". It matches the Rfam family "Bacterial small subunit ribosomal RNA", at positions 524 to 776 of the family's 1533-position model. The record is from RNAcentral.